Molecule: ribosomal RNA, 1127 nt
Filed under: uncultured organism
Description: bacterial SSU rRNA
Rfam family: Bacterial small subunit ribosomal RNA
Source: RNAcentral
CUACAUGUAAGCUACUGUUUGAAGAUGAGCUCGCGGACCAUUAGCUUGUUGGUGGGGUAAAGGCCUACCAAGGCAACGAUGGUCAGCUGGUCUGAGAGGAUGAUCAGUCACACUGGAACUGACACACGGUCCAGACUCCUACGGGAGGCAGCAGUGAGGAAUUUUGCGCAAUGGGGAAACCCUGACGCAGCAACGCCGCGUGAGUUGAUGAAGGCCUUCGGGUCGUAAAGCUCUGUCGAGUGGGAAGAACCUGCAUUGGAGAUAAUAUUCCGAUGCACUGACGGUACCACUGGAGGAAGCACCGGCUAACUCCGUGCCAGCAGCCGCAGUAAUACGGAGGGUGCAAGCGUUAUCCGGAAUCAUUGGGCGUAAAGGGCACGUAGGCCGGUUGCUGGGUCGGAUGUGAAAUCCCGGGGCUUAACCCCGUGAAGUGCAUUCGAAAACUGGCAGACUUGAGUAUGGGAAGAGGGAAGCGGAAUUCCUGGUGUAGAGGUGAAUUUCGUAGAUAUCAGGAGGAACACCGUUGGCGAAGGCGGCCUUCCCUGGACCAAUACUGACGCUGAGGUGCGAAGGCGUGGGGAGCAAACAGGAUUAGAUACCCUGGUAGUCCACGCAGUAAACGGUGAACACUAGGUGUAGCGGGUAUUGACCCCUUGCUGUGCCGGAGUUAACGCAUUAAGUGUUCCGCCUGGGGAGUACGGCCGCAAGGUUAAAACUCAAAGGAAUUUGACGGGGGCCCGCACAAGCGGUGGAGCACGUGGUUUAAUUCGACGCAACGCGAAGAACCUUACCUGGGUUUGACAUCCCGGGAAUCCGUAUGAAAGUAUGGAGUGACCUUCGGGGAGCCCGGAGACAGGUGCUGCAUGGCUGUCGUCAGCUCGUGUCGUGAGAUGUUGGGUUAAGUCCCGCAACGAGCGCAACCCUUGUCUUCAGUUGCCAGCGAUUCGGUCGGGGACUCUGGAGAUACUGCCCCGGUUAACGGGGAGGAAGGUGGGGAUGACGUCAAGUCCUCAUGGCCUUUAUGCCCAGGGCUACACACGUGCUACAAUGGUCUGUACAAAGGGUGGCGAACCUGCGAAGGCAAGCCAAUCCCAAAAAGCAGGCCUCAGUUCGGAUUGGAGUCUGCA